CAUUCACAGCCAAGAAACUUCAGGAAAAGCAAAUAUUUCAGAAGGAAUCUCCUCCAAACAAAGAAGAGGUUAUGGAGAACCAAGCAAAGGCCUUCCUUCAGAAAUGUGCGCUUAUGAAAACAUCACAGCUCCGCAGGAGAAUGCAGACAAGCAGGGGUUGGAUCCAUUACUAGCAUGCACUUUAAAGGGGAAAGCUGCAGCUGAGACACCCAAAGUGAGAUUGUACCCAGGGCUAGCAGGAAGAAGCGCAAAGCGGGAGUGAUCAACCCAUGCACAGUACGCUAUUGGUUUAUGGCUGACCGUGAUGUGCAAAUGGGAGCCAUGGACGUGGAAAAGCCGAAUGUUUCAGUGAGAAGGUGAGCUCAUCAUUCCAAAGCGGCAGAGAUCUGUGACAGGACUGUGAUAGCAUGUCUGAAUUGGUUUACGGUGGCAUAAACUCUAAUGGUCUCAUAAGCUGCUUCAUCAGUUUCUUUAAGACACCAUUAAAAUUUUCUGCGUCUUUGGCCUCCUGGCCCCAUUUCCCCUUGAUUUUUGAGCUGGCAGGUUUCUGAGCUGGGAGUCUCUUGGUAUUCAAACAGCACAAAAGGCAACCGAACAAUGACAUUUCUCGGUGUUUUUCUCCUCUUCUGGCUCCCUCCAUUUUAAGAUCAAAUAUUUACUAACUGGAGUGGCACUGAAUACCAAAUUCAGGGACCCCUAAGCUCUCAUUUAAUGGGAUUUUUCUGGUCCCCACAUGCUAUUAAACUGCACAUUGUUGUUA
Long non-coding RNA from Podarcis raffonei (Aeolian wall lizard), 760 nucleotides. RefSeq lists it as uncharacterized. The record is from RefSeq and is a predicted model, not a curated record. The transcript has 3 exons. NCBI's taxonomy places the organism in Eukaryota, Metazoa, Chordata, Lepidosauria, Squamata, Lacertidae.